This 467-nucleotide ribosomal RNA is filed under the name uncultured bacterium. RNAcentral's name for it is "partial 16S ribosomal RNA". It matches the Rfam family "Bacterial small subunit ribosomal RNA", at positions 29 to 507 of the family's 1533-position model. The record is from RNAcentral.
ACGAACGCUGGCGGCGUGCUUAACCCCUGCCCGUCGAACGGAAAGGCCCUGCUUUUGUGGGGUGCUCGAGUGGCGAACGGGUGAGUAACACGUGAGUAACCUGCCCUUGACUUUGGGAUAACUUCAGGAAACUGGGGCUAAUACCGGAUAGGAGCUCCUGCUGCAUGGUGGGGGUUGGAAAGUUUCGGCGGUUGGGGAUGGACUCGCGGCUUAUCAGCUUGUUGGUGGGGUAGUGGCUUACCAAGGCUUUGACGGGUAGCCGGCCUGAGAGGGUGACCGGCCACAUUGGGACUGAGAUACGGCCCAGACUCCUACGGGAGGCAGCAGUGGGGAAUAUUGCACAAUGGGCGGAAGCCUGAUGCAGCAACGCCGCGUGCGGGAUGACGGCCUUCGGGUUGUAAACCGCUUUCGCCUGUGACGAAGCGUGAGUGACGGUAAUGGGUAAAGAAGCACCGGCUAACUACGUG